GGGGUUAUAUUUUAAUUGGUAGAAUAAUUGCGUUGCAUGCAUUAGAUAUGAGUUCAAUUCUCAUUAACUCCA
Molecule: transfer RNA, 72 nt
Filed under: Cylindricascospora bacillispora
Lineage: Eukaryota; Fungi; Ascomycota; Saccharomycetes; Saccharomycetales; Saccharomycetaceae
Description: Nakaseomyces bacillisporus transfer RNA-ala
Rfam family: tRNA
About the family: Transfer RNA (tRNA) molecules are approximately 80 nucleotides in length. Their secondary structure includes four short double-helical elements and three loops (D, anti-codon, and T loops).
Source: RNAcentral